Transfer RNA from Aspergillus oryzae, 115 nucleotides. It matches the Rfam family "tRNA". Rfam says of the family: Transfer RNA (tRNA) molecules are approximately 80 nucleotides in length. NCBI's taxonomy places the organism in Eukaryota, Fungi, Ascomycota, Eurotiomycetes, Eurotiales, Aspergillaceae. The record is from Rfam.
GGUCCUAUGGGGUAGUGGUUAUCCCACCGGAUUUUGAUGAACAAUAUACAUGUCCUGUAUAUGUGUAGGAAGAUCGAAGCUUCCGGUAACGCCGGUUCGAAUCCGGCUAGGACCU